Molecule: ribosomal RNA, 773 nt
Filed under: uncultured bacterium
Lineage: Bacteria
Description: bacterial SSU rRNA
Rfam family: Bacterial small subunit ribosomal RNA
Source: RNAcentral
AGAGUUUGAUCAUGGCUCAGGACGAACGCUGGCGGCGUGCUUAACACAUGCAAGUCGAACGGAAAGCCCCUUUCGGGGGGACUCGAGUGGCGAACGGGUGAGUAACACGUGGGUGAUCUGCCCUGCACUUUGGGAUAAGCCUGGGAAACUGGGUCUAAUACCGGAUAGGACCAUGGCAUGCAUGUGCUGUGGUGGAAAGCUUUUGCGGUGUGGGAUGGGCCCGCGGCCUAUCAGCUUGUUGGUGGGGUGAUGGCCUACCAAGGCGACGACGGGUAGCCGGCCUGAGAGGGUGUCCGGCCACACUGGGACUGAGAUACGGCCCAGACUCCUACGGGAGGCAGCAGUGGGGAAUAUUGUACAAUGGGCGCAAGCCUGAUGCAGCGACGCCGCGUGAGGGAUGACGGCCUUCGGGUUGUAAACCUCUUUCAACAGGGACGAAGCGAAAGUGACGGUACCUGUAGAAGAAGCACCGGCCAACUACGUGCCAGCAGCCGCGGUAAUACGUAGGGUGCGAGCGUUGUCCGGAAUUACUGGGCGUAAAGAGCUCGUAGGUGGUUUGUCGCGUUGUUCGUGAAAACUCACAGCUUAACUGUGGGCGUGCGGGCGAUACGGGCAGACUGGAGUACUGCAGGGGAGACUGGAAUUCCUGGUGUAGCGGUGGAAUGCGCAGAUAUCAGGAGGAACACCGGUGGCGAAGGCGGGUCUCUGGGCAGUAACUGACGCUGAGGAGCGAAAGCGUGGGGAGCGAACAGGAUUAGAUACCCCAGUAGUCC